GACGAACGCUGGCGGCGUGCUUAACACAUGCAAGUCGAACGGACAGACAGAGAGCUUGCUCUCUUGAAGUUAGUGGCGAACGGGUGAGUAACGCGUAAUCAACCUGCCCUUCAGAGGGGGAUAACAACGGGAAACCGUUGCUAAUACCGCGUACGAUUCAUGAACGGCAUCGUUUAUGAAUGAAAGGUGGCCUCUAUGUAUAAGCUAUCGCUGAAGGAGGGGAUUGCGUCUGAUUAGCUAGUUGGAGGGGUAACGGCCCACCAAGGCAAUGCACAGUAGCCGGUCUAAUGGGAUGAACGGCCACAUUGGGACUGAGACACGGCCCAAACUCCUACGGGAGGCAGCAGUGGGGAAUCUUCCGCAAUGGACGAAAGUCUGACGGAGCAACGCCGCGUGAGUGAUGAAGGUCUUCGGAUUGUAAAGCUCUGUUAAUCGGGACGAGAGAGUUCUGCGUGAAUAAUGCAGAAAAGUGACGGUACCGGAAUAGAAAGCCACGGCUAACUACGUGCCAGCCGCCGCAGUAA
RNAcentral lists this ribosomal RNA (524 nucleotides) under uncultured bacterium. Its description in RNAcentral is "partial 16S ribosomal RNA". It matches the Rfam family "Bacterial small subunit ribosomal RNA", at positions 28 to 523 of the family's 1533-position model. The record is from RNAcentral.